ACGAACCUCUGGUGUGCCAGUUGUCCUGCCAAGGGCAUGGCUGGUUGGCUACGUUCGGAAAGGAUAACCGCUGAAAGCAUCUAAGCGGGAAGCCUGCUUCGAGAUGAGUAUUCCCACCCUCUUGAGGGGUUAAGGCUCCCAGUAGACGACUGGGUUGAUAGGCCAGAUGUGGAAGCCCGGUAACGGGUGGAGCUGACUGGUACUAAUAGGCCGAGGGCUUGUCCUCAGUUG
RNAcentral lists this ribosomal RNA (231 nucleotides) under Streptomyces sp. SID4937. RNAcentral's name for it is "partial 23S ribosomal RNA". It matches the Rfam family "Bacterial large subunit ribosomal RNA", at positions 2701 to 2925 of the family's 2925-position model. Lineage: Bacteria; Bacillati; Actinomycetota; Actinomycetes; Kitasatosporales; Streptomycetaceae. The record is from RNAcentral.